CCUACGUGAGGCAGCAGUGAGGAAUAUUGGUCAAUGGGCGGAAGCCUGAACCAGCCAAGUAGCGUGCAGGAUGACGGCCCUACGGGUUGUAAACUGCUUUUAUACGGGAAUAACGCGCCUUACGUGUAGGGCUUUGCAUGUACCGUAUUCAUAAGUACCGGCUAAUUCCGUGCCAGCAGCCGCGGUAAUACGGAAGGUCCGGGCGUUUUCCGGAUUUAUUGGGUUUAAAGGGAGCGUAGGCGGCAUGGCAAGCGUGCUGUGAAAUGUCCGGGCUCAACCCGGGCCUUGCAGCGCGAACUGGCAUGCUUGAGUCCGCGGAAAGCAGGCGGAAUGCGUCGUGUAGCGGUGAAAUGCUUAGAUAUGACGAAGAACCCCGAUUGCGAAGGCAGCUUGCUGCAGCGGAACUGACGCUGAUGCUCGAAAGCGCGGGUAUCGAACAGGAUUAGAUACCCCAGUAGUC
RNAcentral lists this ribosomal RNA (460 nucleotides) under uncultured bacterium. Its description in RNAcentral is "partial 16S ribosomal RNA". It matches the Rfam family "Bacterial small subunit ribosomal RNA", at positions 338 to 795 of the family's 1533-position model. The record is from RNAcentral.